CAGCCAGGCCAAACUGUGGCAGGAACGUACUCAGAUGCAUUAGGAGCUAUAUUGCAUUGCCAAGCAUAAUGAUUCGGAUGGAAAUUGCUGCUGCUCAUCGGGAACGUACUUGGAGGUAUCGUCUGGGGUUGAGAAUAUGGAGGGUACAUAAAGCGCAAUGGGUGCAUCAUGUUUGGGGUGUGCGGGGGUGAAGGGUACAGGUGAUGAGGGGAGGAGCACAUUGGAUUGGGUAACAUAGUUGGUGGUCCUUGAUGAAGAGAGAUGUUCAUUGACCAAGGGCCAACGGGUGGUAGUGUUCCAGGAGGAGAAGGAAGAUUAAUGUUCAUAGGUAACGGUGCUGCACGGGCAAUGGCUGGGGAGGGA
Molecule: long non-coding RNA, 363 nt
Filed under: Nicotiana tabacum (common tobacco)
Lineage: Eukaryota; Viridiplantae; Streptophyta; Magnoliopsida; Solanales; Solanaceae
Description: long non-coding RNA (NTAB_LNC014315)
Source: RNAcentral